RNAcentral lists this ribosomal RNA (255 nucleotides) under uncultured bacterium. Its description in RNAcentral is "partial 16S ribosomal RNA". It matches the Rfam family "Bacterial small subunit ribosomal RNA", at positions 524 to 776 of the family's 1533-position model. The record is from RNAcentral.
UACGUAGGUGGCAAGCGUUAUCCGGAAUUAUUGGGCGUAAAGCGCGCGCAGGUGGUUUCUUAAGUCUGAUGUGAAAGCCCACGGCUCAACCGUGGAGGGUCAUUGGAAACUGGGAGACUUGAGUGCAGAAGAGGAAAGUGGAAUUCCAUGUGUAGCGGUGAAAUGCGUAGAGAUAUGGAGGGACACCAGUGGCGAAGGCGACUUUCUGGUCUGUAACUGACACUGAGGCGCGAAAAGCGUGGGGGAGCAAACAGG